This 531-nucleotide ribosomal RNA is filed under the name uncultured bacterium. RNAcentral describes it as "bacterial SSU rRNA". It matches the Rfam family "Bacterial small subunit ribosomal RNA", at positions 28 to 520 of the family's 1533-position model. The record is from RNAcentral.
GACGAACGCUGGCGGCGUGCCUAACACAUGCAAGUCGAACGGUCCGGCACUCAACCGACCCUCAGUCUAGCUGUAGGUGAGGUUAAGUGCCGGAUAGUGGCGGACGGGUGAGUAACGCGUGGGCAACCAACCCUGUACAGUGGGAUAACACCGGGAAACCGGUGCUAAUACCGCAUGACACCUAGAUGGUGCAUACUGUUUAGGUUAAAGGGCAAAACCGGUACGGGACGGGCCCGCGUCCCAUUAGCUGGUUGGUGAGGUAACGGCUCACCAAGGCGACGAUGGGUAGCCGACCUGAGAGGGUGACCGGCCACACUGGGACUGAGACACGGCCCAGACUCCUACGGGAGGCAGCAGUGGGGAAUAUUGCGCAAUGGGGGAAACCCUGACGCAGCGACGCCGCGUGAGCGAAGAAGGCCUUAGGGUUGUAAAGCUCUGUUCUAUGGGACGAAGUCCUUGACUGUAAAUAAUGGUCAAGGUUGACGGUACCAUAGGAGGAAGCCCCGGCUAACUACGUGCCAGCAGCCGAAC